RNAcentral lists this ribosomal RNA (253 nucleotides) under uncultured bacterium. Its description in RNAcentral is "partial 16S ribosomal RNA". It matches the Rfam family "Bacterial small subunit ribosomal RNA", at positions 524 to 776 of the family's 1533-position model. The record is from RNAcentral.
UACGUAGGGACCGAGCGUUGUCCGGAAUCAUUGGGCGUAAAGAGCGUGUAGGCGGCCACUUAAGUCCUGCGUGAAAUCUUGCGGCUCAACCGCAAGCGGUCGUGGGAAACUGGGUGGCUAGAGUGCGGGAGAGGAGAGUGGAAUUCCUGGUGUAGCGGUGGAAUGCGUAGAGAUCGGGAGGAACACCAGUGGCGAAGGCGACUCGCUGGACCGGUCCUGACGCUCAGGCGCGAAAGCGUGGGGAGCGAUCCGG